This 387-nucleotide long non-coding RNA is filed under the name Elaeis guineensis (African oil palm). Its description in RNAcentral is "long non-coding RNA (EGUI_LNC045102)". Lineage: Eukaryota; Viridiplantae; Streptophyta; Magnoliopsida; Arecales; Arecaceae. The record is from RNAcentral.
CGGUCCACAUUGGUUGCCAAUUGAAAGGAGGAAGGUUUUGCAUGAUCCAAUGACUGAAAAUUAUUUGGAGGUUGAUCCAAUGGUUGACAUUGUUUUCAAGUUUGAAUAAGAAAUCUAGGGUGCUAAUCGACAACCCAGAUUCGAUCCGAUGUGAGAUCUGAUGGCUGGCAGUGUUCUUGACUUUGUUAAGGAGAUAAAAGGUGCCAUUCGAUGGCCAGAAUUCCAUCUGGAGUGAGAUCGAAUGGUUGAAAAUGAAUCAGAUCGUAAGAAGGAUUUAAAUAGUGGUUUUUGAUCAGAUCUUGGUGGUCCAAGGAAGAUCCGAUGGCCAAAAUUAAAUGAUACGAGUAUAAUAUGUUUUCUAAGGGUUUUAGGACUCCUUUUACUAUC